This 254-nucleotide ribosomal RNA is filed under the name uncultured bacterium. RNAcentral's name for it is "partial 16S ribosomal RNA". It matches the Rfam family "Bacterial small subunit ribosomal RNA", at positions 524 to 776 of the family's 1533-position model. The record is from RNAcentral.
UACGUAGGGUGCAAGCGUUGUCCGGAAUUAUUGGGCGUAAAGAGCUCGUAGGCGGUCUGUCGCGUCGAAUGUGAAAACCCGGGCGUCUAACCCCGGGCCUGCAUUCGAUACGGGCAGACUAGAGUUCGGUGAGGGAGUCUGGAAUUCCUGGUGUAGCGGUGAAAUGCGCAGAUAUCAGGAGGAACACCGGUGGCGAAGGCGGGACUCUGGGCCGAUACUGACGCUGAGGAGCGAAAGCGUGGGGAGCGAACAGG